This is a long non-coding RNA of Gasterosteus aculeatus aculeatus (three-spined stickleback), 728 nucleotides long. Lineage: Eukaryota; Metazoa; Chordata; Actinopteri; Perciformes; Gasterosteidae. The record is from Ensembl.
GAGAGAGAGACCCGACCGCUCGCCACGCAGACAACCGAGGACGACCGGGCUGAGAGGCUGCUGAGGGCCUGCUGCCACCCGAGGGGCCCGACACGACCCCUGUGGAGAUGGAACGUAUAAGACGGAGGAUGAGCGUGACAUUACUCCAAGCAGGAUGACUGUUUUUCAUCCCCUUCCUGCCAAGUGAAAACCACGUGUCCAGAUGCGGAUGUAGAGUGUUUCUGAUAAACUGAAUAAAGAGAUAAAGGAAAUCCUCCUUCCCCUUAAAUGGAAUCAACUAUUUUAAAAAGCCUCUUAGCUGAAAACAGGCAGGUUGUUCUUUUUAGACGCUACAAACAUGGAUGAUUAGAAUAUGAAGUAUUCCUGUAGAUUAAACUGACCACAUCCUUUGCCUGGAAAAUGAGUCACGUAUGUGUUCUGCCUCUUCUUUGUCCUUGAAAACCACACAUUAACUACAGACAACCACCCCUUCUACUUAUGAAACACAUGAAAACCUUCCACCUGCCCGGGGGACUUCGUUCUGAUCCAGAGGGUUGACAGCGUCUUUACUUGAAUGAUCUCUCUCCCGUUCUCUUGUGGUCCUAAGCCACAUCGUCGUAGUCCUCUUCCCCCUCGGUUUCAUCUUCACCCCCGAUGUCGUCGUAGUCGUCCUCUGAGAAACUGUCUGCUGCUGGAUCUAGAUCUGGGUACCGUGGAAUCAGAGGGAGAGGCUCGUCCUCACCCACCGC